GCACCCGUAGCUCAAUUGGAUAGAGCAUCGGUCUACGGAACCGAAGGUUACUGGUUCGAAUCCAGUCGGGUGUA
This 74-nucleotide transfer RNA is filed under the name Isosphaera pallida ATCC 43644. RNAcentral describes it as "tRNA-Arg (ACG) (tRNA-Arg-ACG-1-1)". It matches the Rfam family "tRNA". From Rfam's summary of the family: Transfer RNA (tRNA) molecules are approximately 80 nucleotides in length. Lineage: Bacteria; Pseudomonadati; Planctomycetota; Planctomycetia; Isosphaerales; Isosphaeraceae. RNAcentral also lists the same sequence under 4 other names. The record is from Rfam by way of RNAcentral.